UUAAGCGACUAAGCGUACACGGUGGAUGCCCUGGCAGUCAGAGGCGAUGAAGGACGUGCUAAUCUGCGAAAAGCGUCGGUAAGGUGAUAUGAACCGUUACAGCCGGCGAUGUCCGAAUGGGGAAACCCAGUGCAAUUCGUUGCACUAUCGUUAACUGAAUACAUAGGUUAACGAGGCGAACCGGGGGAACUGAAACAUCUAAGUACCCCGAGGAAAAGAAAUCAACCGAGAUUCCCCCAGUAGCGGCGAGCGAACGGGGAGCAGCCCGGAGUCUGAAUCAGCUUGUGUGUUAGUGGAAGCGUCUGGAAAGUCGCAGGGUACAGGGUGAUACUCCCGUACACUAAAACGCACAGGCUGUGAACUCGAAGAGUAGGGCGGGACACGUGGUAUCCUGUCUGAAUAUGGGGGGACCAUCCUCCAAGGCUAAAUACUCCUGACUGACCGAUAGUGAACCAGUACCGUGAGGGAAAGGCGAAAAGAACCCCGGCGAGGGGAGUGAAAAAGAACCUGAAACCGUGUACGUACAAGCAGUAGGAGCCCACUAGUUGGGUGACUGCGUACCUUUUGUAUAAUGGGUCAGCGACUUAUAUUCUGUAGCAAGGUUAACCGAAUAGGGGAGCCGCAGGGAAACCGAGUCUUAACUGGGCGUUAAGUUGCAGGGUAUAGACCCGAAACCCGGUGAUCUAGCCAUGGGCAGGUUGAAGGUUGGGUAACACUAACUGGAGGACCGAACCGACUAAUGUUGAAAAAUUAGCGGAUGACUUGUGGCUGGGGGUGAAAGGCCAAUCAAACCGGGAGAUAGCUGGUUCUCCCCGAAAGCUAUUUAGGUAGCGCCUCGUGAACUCAUCUUCGGGGGUAGAGCACUGUUUCGGCUAGGGGGUCAUCCCGACUUACCAACCCGAUGCAAACUACGAAUACCGAAGAAUGUUAUCACGGGAGACACACGGCGGGUGCUAACGUCCGUCGUGAAGAGGGAAACAACCCAGACCGCCAGCUAAGGUCCCAAAGUCAUGGUUAAGUGGGAAACGAUGUGGGAAGGCCCAGACAGCCAGGAUGUUGGCUUAGAAGCAGCCAUCAUUUAAAGAAAGCGUAAUAGCUCACUGGUCGAGUCGGCCUGCGCGGAAGAUGUAACGGGGCUAAACCAUGCACCGAAGCUGCGGCAGCGACACUAUGUGUUGUUGGGUAGGGGAGCGUUCUGUAAGCCGUUGAAGGUGGCCUGUGAGGGUUGCUGGAGGUAUCAGAAGUGCGAAUGCUGACAUAAGUAACGAUAAUGCGGGUGAAAAACCCGCACGCCGGAAGACCAAGGGUUCCUGUCCAACGUUAAUCGGGGCAGGGUGAGUCGACCCCUAAGGCGAGGCCGAAAGGCGUAGUCGAUGGGAAACAGGUUAAUAUUCCUGUACUUGGUGUUACUGCGAAGGGGGGACGGAGAAGGCUAUGUUGGCCGGGCGACGGUUGUCCCGGUUUAAGCAUGUAGGCGGAUGUUCCAGGUAAAUCCGGAACGUCAUUAACGCUGAGGUGUGAUGACGAGGCACUACGGUGCUGAAGUGACAAAUGCCCUGCUUCCAGGAAAAGCCUCUAAGCAUCAGGUAACAUCAAAUCGUACCCCAAACCGACACAGGUGGUCAGGUAGAGAAUACCAAGGCGCUUGAGAGAACUCGGGUGAAGGAACUAGGCAAAAUGGUGCCGUAACUUCGGGAGAAGGCACGCUGAUGGUAGGUGAAGUGACUUGCUCAUGGAGCUGAAAUCAGUCGAAGAUACCAGCUGGCUGCAACUGUUUAUUAAAAACACAGCACUGUGCAAACACGAAAGUGGACGUAUACGGUGUGACGCCUGCCCGGUGCCGGAAGGUUAAUUGAUGGGGUUAUCCUCGCGGAGAAGCUCUUGAUCGAAGCCCCGGUAAACGGCGGCCGUAACUAUAACGGUCCUAAGGUAGCGAAAUUCCUUGUCGGGUAAGUUCCGACCUGCACGAAUGGCGUAAUGAUGGCCAGGCUGUCUCCACCCGAGACUCAGUGAAAUUGAACUCGCUGUGAAGAUGCAGUGUACCCGCGGCAAGACGGAAAGACCCCGUGAACCUUUACUAUAGCUUGACACUGAACACUGGUCCUUGAUGUGUAGGAUAGGUGGGAGGCUUUGAAGUGUGGACGCCAGUCUGCAUGGAGCCAUCCUUGAAAUACCACCCUUUAAUGGCUGGUGUUCUAACGUGGGCCCGUAAUCCGGGUUGCGGACAGUGUCUGGUGGGUAGUUUGACUGGGGCGGUCUCCUCCUAAAGAGUAACGGAGGAGCACGAAGGUCAGCUAAUCCUGGUCGGACAUCAGGAGGUUAGUGCAAUGGCAUAAGCUGGCUUGACUGCGAGCGUGACGGCGCGAGCAGGUGCGAAAGCAGGUCAUAGUGAUCCGGUGGUUCUGAAUGGAAGGGCCAUCGCUCAACGGAUAAAAGGUACUCCGGGGAUAACAGGCUGAUACCGCCCAAGAGUUCAUAUCGACGGCGGUGUUUGGCACCUCGAUGUCGGCUCAUCACAUCCUGGGGCUGAAGUAGGUCCCAAGGGUAUGGCUGUUCGCCAUUUAAAGUGGUACGCGAGCUGGGUUUAGAACGUCGUGAGACAGUUCGGUCCCUAUCUGCCGUGGGCGCUGGAGAAUUGAGGGGGGCUGCUCCUAGUACGAGAGGACCGGAGUGGACGCAUCACUGGUGUUCGGGUUGUCAUGCCAAUGGCAUUGCCCGGUAGCUAAAUGCGGAAGAGAUAAGUGCUGAAAGCAUCUAAGCACGAAACUUGCCCCGAGAUGAGUUCUCCCUGACCCUUUAAGGGUCCUGAAGGAACGUUGAAGACGACGACGUUGAUAGGCCGGGUGUGUAAGCGCAGCGAUGCGUUGAGCUAACCGGUACUAAUGAACCGUGAGGCUUAACCUU
This 2904-nucleotide ribosomal RNA is filed under the name Klebsiella oxytoca. RNAcentral's name for it is "bacterial LSU rRNA". It matches the Rfam family "Bacterial large subunit ribosomal RNA". Lineage: Bacteria; Pseudomonadati; Pseudomonadota; Gammaproteobacteria; Enterobacterales; Enterobacteriaceae. The record is from RNAcentral.